Mastomys coucha (southern multimammate mouse) is the source of this 1105-nucleotide long non-coding RNA. RefSeq lists it as uncharacterized. NCBI's taxonomy places the organism in Eukaryota, Metazoa, Chordata, Mammalia, Rodentia, Muridae. The record is from RefSeq and is a predicted model, not a curated record. The transcript is spliced from 5 exons.
ACCUGGUCCCUUGAAAGCAAUGGCGAGCUCUUCAGGAGCCUUCCUUUGGAAUUGUGUUCUCUUGUGAACAGCUCUGCACCCUCCCCCAUCUUCAACCGCCUUUCCUCCUUUCAGUUAAACAAUGGGAGCCCCUUGCAGGUCAUCUAAAGUCCACGGGUUAUCUUAUCUUUGCAUCAGGAUUUACAACUAAACACAAGUUCUUCCCAACUGAUUUCCCAUGGUAAGAAUUGAACCCAUGGAGUCUUGCAUGGGAGUUUGGCAAGGGACUUAGAGAGGAGAAACAGCCUACAGUAAUAAAAGUGAUUCUGCAUGAAGAGCCACCUCAUCCAGGAGAGACUUAGCACAGCUACUACUGUUGUGGAGCCCCUGGGGACAGAUCUCCCAGCCCAGGAGGCAUAGAGCAAGCACCUAGGAAAGUAACUAACUGAUCCUCUCAGAAAGAGGCUGGCAGAAGCUUGGAAAGGAGAGAAGUGAGGUUGCUCGGUUUGGGGGGUGAGCUGGAAGUGCACGUGUCAUCCUGGCCAAUCCAGAUCAUUACUUUACAGACCUAUCGAUGGGCUCAUGAUCUCACCUUGCUUUCCUGAGAGACCUCCAAACAGUUGAGGACCCACAAAGGCCAGGUCUGCAGAUACCAGAGUUUAGGCUCACAACUCUGCCAGCUUUCCACCAGGAGCAUAGAUGCCACAAGGUUGAAAUAGCACUGCCAUGUCCUAGUGUCCUAGGUGUGACAUAUGGGGGCAGUAGAGAGGUUUCUUCCUGUGUACUUUGGCGUUAUUGGUGCUGGGAGCCUGUUGAGCAGAGUAUAGAGAAUUGUCUCCUGAGAUCACUGGUCAUUUGGAAGUGUCUUGAAGUAAGAGACAGAGAAUCAUAGGGAACAUUCAAUGUUCCAUUGCAACCAAAAUGCAGAAGCAAGAGGCUUUGAAAUUCUUUGGAGGAUGACUUCCUGUGCUGGCUUGAGAAGACCCUUCUGCAUCUAUCUCGUCUCCAAUCCUGGAGUUGCUGUCUUCUCAAGGGCUUGAAUCUCAUUAGCCCAAAGGUGUCAUGAACUUUUUUGUUUCUAUAAAUGUCUAAGUUCACUCUGGGAACAUAAAAUUGAUGAACUGUA